AGCCGCGAGGUAGAGCAAAUCUCAAAAAAGACAUCUCAGUUCAGAUUGCAGGCUGCAACUCGCCUGCAUGAAGUCGGAAUUGCUAGUAAUCGUAGGUCAGCAUACUACGGUGAAUACGUUCCCGGGCCUUGUACACACCGCCCGUCAAACCAUGAGAGUUGGCAACACCCGAAGUCGGUAGUCUAACCGCAAGGAGGACGCCGCCGAAGGUGGGGUUGAUGAUUAGGGUUAAGUCGUAACAAGGUAGC
Molecule: ribosomal RNA, 248 nt
Filed under: uncultured bacterium
Lineage: Bacteria
Description: partial 16S ribosomal RNA
Rfam family: Bacterial small subunit ribosomal RNA
Source: RNAcentral